RNAcentral lists this ribosomal RNA (517 nucleotides) under uncultured bacterium. RNAcentral's name for it is "bacterial SSU rRNA". It matches the Rfam family "Bacterial small subunit ribosomal RNA", at positions 63 to 602 of the family's 1533-position model. The record is from RNAcentral.
CCUUCGGGACUGAUUAUUUUGUGACUGAGUGGCGGACGGGUGAGUAACGCGUGGGUAACCUGCCUUGUACAGGGGGAUAACAGUUGGAAACGGCUGCUAAUACCGCAUAAGCGCACGGCAUCGCAUGAUGCAGUGUGAAAAACUCCGGUGGUAUAAGAUGGACCCGCGUUGGAUUAGCUAGUUGGUGAGGUAACGGCCCACCAAGGCGACGAUCCAUAGCCGACCUGAGAGGGUGACCGGCCACAUUGGGACUGAGACACGGCCCAAACUCCUACGGGAGGCAGCAGUGGGGAAUAUUGCACAAUGGGCGAAAGCCUGAUGCAGCGACGCCGCGUGAGCGAAGAAGUAUUUCGGUAUGUAAAGCUCUAUCAGCAGGGAAGAUAAUGACGGUACCUGACUAAGAAGCACCGGCUAAAUACGUGCCAGCAGCCGCGGUAAUACGUAUGGUGCAAGCGUUAUCCGGAUUUACUGGGUGUAAAGGGAGCGCAGGCGGUGCGGCAAGUCUGAUGUGAAAGCC